GCCUGGUUGGCUGAGUUGGUUAAGCAUCUGCCUUUGGCUCAGGUCAUGAUCUCACAGUUUGUGGGUUUGAGCCCCGCGUCGGGCU
This 85-nucleotide transfer RNA is filed under the name Felis catus (domestic cat). It matches the Rfam family "tRNA". From Rfam's summary of the family: Transfer RNA (tRNA) molecules are approximately 80 nucleotides in length. Their secondary structure includes four short double-helical elements and three loops (D, anti-codon, and T loops). Further hydrogen bonds mediate the characteristic L-shaped molecular structure. tRNAs have two regions of fundamental functional importance: the anti-codon, which is responsible for specific mRNA codon recognition, and the 3' end, to which the tRNAs corresponding amino acid is attached (by aminoacyl-tRNA synthetases). tRNAs cope with the degeneracy of the genetic code in two manners: having more than one tRNA (with a specific anti-codon) for a particular amino acid; and 'wobble' base-pairing, i.e. permitting non-standard base-pairing at the 3rd anti-codon position. Lineage: Eukaryota; Metazoa; Chordata; Mammalia; Carnivora; Felidae. The record is from Rfam by way of RNAcentral.